This is a non-coding RNA of Dermacentor andersoni, 1225 nucleotides long. The record is from RefSeq and is a predicted model, not a curated record. NCBI's taxonomy places the organism in Eukaryota, Metazoa, Arthropoda, Arachnida, Ixodida, Ixodidae.
AUAUAUAUAUAUAUAUAUACAAGGUAAUGUUCAAAUCAACGUUCCUUACUUAUAAGUGUGCGAUUUGUAAAGUCUCCGCUUAUAAAGGCCUAGUCUAAAAUCCAGCUGGACUAACCGUGGAUGUGAGUCAUGUAUUCAAUUAUUUACAUGGUGGCACAAAGCUACCAAGGCAAUCCAUACCGCUUUCUCAGAUAGAAAGCCCAGCAGUUGAAGAAAAAUUUGUCCUGGUACCGUGACGGGACCCGUGGCCAACGCAAUUCCGGGGCAGUCGAUCUACAAUCUGAGCUGCACAUCCGGCUAGCUGAUCACAAGGAGAGAGCAAAUUAUUCCGCAACUUGAGGCACAGGGACCCCGCAUAUGCUAAGUUAGGUCUGCGGGAAGCCGCAGUGGGGAAGAAUGUUAAUGAAAGAAAAUUGUCAUCCAAAUUAAUGUAGCCCGCAAGUAUGAACAGAGAACACCCAUACGUCUUCCUAAGAAAACCUUGCAUCUUCGUGUUCCUGUGCUUGAAGUUGGUAAUUUUACCUUCCCUCUGUAAUUAGAUAGCCUGCUCCUUCGCUCUGAUGGUGGAGGGAUCGCCCUAGAAAGAUGUUGGUUAUACGACCCGGACGAAUUACUCUUCCACUGCUAGUGUUUGUUUGUGAAAGACCCGCAUGUGUUUCUUUUGUAGCCUGUUGGUACAGUAGGGCGGAUGACAAUUUUCUCUUUCCCAAGUCUUGCUCCUCCUUGCGAGCUUCGGUAGAACUGAUUUGUUAUCUGCUGCCGGUUACGUAUACGUAGACCGACGUAUAAAUGAUUCAACGUAACCCCUUUUCUGUACGCUCUUUCAGAAACUUCGAUAUCAUGAAGGCAGCCGUGGCUUUCGCGCUUAUUGCCAUUUGCACUCUCCUUAUGAUGGGGAUGAAUGCGGCUAUCGCUCACGACUCGGAGGCAAGAGCCAUGGGUUCUGAAAACGAUGAGCGCGCUGAUACUGCUCAUCAAGUGUCAGGGAGACAGCUCAGCCCCGGUUGCUUGGCAUCUCUCUGUGGAUAGAACUUCCAAGGACAGCGAUUCGUUUGAAAUUGUUCCCUGCAGAAAAAACGUGUCCAAGGCGCCUUUGUAGGGAAGAGAUGUUUAGCAAUAACAUUUUCUGAAGUUGAAUAAUUCGCUUCAUGGUUCUGCAGGGAUGCUUCAUCGCGGUGUUGCAUGUACUGACAAUAAUAAAAUAAAGCGUUUAGCAAGACUGAAA